GUUCCAGAGUGUCAUCAUUCAUUGAUUAGCUAAAUCUGCUAACACUUUGGCAAGAAGAACUCAACUUAAUAUUCUUUAAAAAUAUAAAAUCAUAUGAGGAAAGCCAGCAUAAGAGUCAAACCUGACUAUUCAAAUAAAUGAGGGGCUGCACUUUUUAUUCAGAGGCCAGUGCUGGUUUGAACACCGUCUAAUGGUGCUUCCAGUGUUGCUGCGUCGAGACGCCGCGAUUGCCGUUAUUGAUAUACAAAACGAGCAAUCAUGGAGAGAGUUGGAGGCGAAGGAAACCACAAGUGCCUAAUCACGUCUGUGAAAUUUUACAGCUGCACGGAGCUUCAGAAAGCUUUGUUUUCUUCAGUCCCCCUAAAAUGUGCAGUGUGGAGAGCGUUUUAGGAAACAGCAAUGUUUCAGGAGCUGGAAAAUGUCAAGUGAGUGCGUAUGGAAGGCCUCAUUCAACAUGUCAGGGCGCACGGAGGAAUAACAUCCUUCAGACCUGUGAAGUUCUCUGAUGCUUCUGUGCUUGUUUGCUGACACGCUCCAGCUCGUGUUUGUGUUUUUUCCUCUGAUGAAACAGGUGGUCUCCGUGUAGAUCCCACAGCCCGCUCCUCCCCGCUUUACACACAGGCUCCUGCUCCCCAUAGGUUUUCUCCAGAAUAGCUAAAAGAAGGCUUUUCCUCCCCAAUGCCUCGACGGCAUUCCCUCUUCCCCCCCACCCCAUUCCUCUUUCUCCUGUCCCUUCAGCAGCCACCCCCAAUUACACACAACAGCUGCCAGUGUCCUUUGGAGGAAAAAUGAUGCGUGUCCAACAAAACUGAUCUCUUUCACCUCCUCCUGUACCUCCUCUCCUCUAUCAACCAGUUAACCCCCACCACACACUGCUCCGCCCCAGUUCGAUCCCCCUUGCACCUGAAGCAUGUACCACAUUACAUUCAGACAGGCAGCCAGAGAGCAGUGAUGAUGGCAGAUUUCCUGUCUACCAGGCAUGCACAUGUGAAAGCCCCGGGUUGCCUUUAGUACCUCGCCUGACAGAUACGCUGUUGCCGCUGUGGCGCACCAAAGCGCAGACUGUCUCUCACUCACGUGCACACAGAUCAGCAGACAUGACUGGGCCACGUCGACCGACCUAGCACCGAACAACUGCGCGAGCGGCUGAUUUUACUUGCCUGUUUGGGCUCUG
Long non-coding RNA from Oreochromis aureus, 1174 nucleotides. The record is from Ensembl. Lineage: Eukaryota; Metazoa; Chordata; Actinopteri; Cichliformes; Cichlidae.